GACGAACGCUGGCGGCGUGCUUAACACAUGCAAGUCGAACGCUGAAGCUCAGCUUUUGUUGGGUGGAUGAGUGGCGAACGGGUGAGUAACACGUGAGUAACCUGCCUCCUUCUUUGGGAUGACGCCCGGAAACGGGUGCUAAUACUGGAUAUUCACUGGUCUUCGCAUGGGGGUUGGUGGAAAGGGUUUUUCUGGUGGGGGAUGGGCUCGCGGCCUAUCAGCUUGUUGGUGGGGUGAUGGCCUACCAAGGCUUUGACGGGUAGCCGGCCUGAGAGGGUGACCGGUCACAUUGGGACUGGGAUACGGCCCAGACUCCUACGGGAGGCAGCAGUGGGGAAUAUUGCACAAUGGGCGCAAGCCUGAUGCAGCGACGCCGCGUGAGGGAUGGAGGCCUUCGGGUUGUGAACCUCUUUCGCUCAUGGUCAAGCCGCAACAAUGGUUGUGGUGAGGGUAGUGGGUAAAGAAGCGCCGGCUAACUACGUG
This 483-nucleotide ribosomal RNA is filed under the name uncultured bacterium. Its description in RNAcentral is "partial 16S ribosomal RNA". It matches the Rfam family "Bacterial small subunit ribosomal RNA", at positions 28 to 507 of the family's 1533-position model. The record is from RNAcentral.